RNAcentral lists this microRNA (22 nucleotides) under human gammaherpesvirus 4 (Epstein-Barr virus). RNAcentral's name for it is "ebv-miR-BART6-3p". Its record names the gene ebv-miR-BART6-3p. Lineage: Duplodnaviria; Heunggongvirae; Peploviricota; Herviviricetes; Herpesvirales; Orthoherpesviridae. The record is from miRBase by way of RNAcentral.
CGGGGAUCGGACUAGCCUUAGA